AUGGAUAGUUAGAAUGAGAAUUUCUUUAACCUCUAAGAUUAUUUAUACGGUUGUUUGUCUAAGAAACCUCUAAGGAUCCAUUUGAUUGGUUUGGUUAGGUGGGAAGUGGACAUGGGGCUCUUGAAGGAAAUUGGAGAAGAAGAUAAGGAAAGAGUUCAAGUCUAAGUUCAUGAUCGGAUGUGUAAUCGGCUUUUCAUCAUCUUUAAUGUAGUGAGCUUAUCACUUAUGUUAUGUAGUAUGUAGUUAUGCUUCUGAAAUUUGAAUGUAUGCUACUUUAUGCUUAUGAAUGUAUGCUAUCUAUGCUUUUGAAGUUUAUACUUAUGCUACUUUAUGUUUAUGAAAUAUGUUUUUGAAUCUAGGUACUUGUAUUUGUAUUUGUAGGCUGAUUCACUAAAUAUUCUUAUAUGGUCUGUUAUGGCAGUUCAUGUUAACAUGGGUGUUAGGGGUUUUUCUCGUAAUGAACUCGGUCCUUAAUAGACUUGGUCACUCUCUAUCCAUAAAAAUAAAAUUGACAAACAGAUAUGGGCAAAUGGACAUGGGCUAGCCCAUCUGACAACUCUACACGGAGAGCUUGCAUGUGAGCGAUAGAGUCAUUCCAGUCAAAAG
RNAcentral lists this long non-coding RNA (606 nucleotides) under Brassica napus (rape). Its description in RNAcentral is "long non-coding RNA (BNAP_LNC006221)". Lineage: Eukaryota; Viridiplantae; Streptophyta; Magnoliopsida; Brassicales; Brassicaceae. The record is from RNAcentral.